UACGUAGUGUGAAUUGCAGAAUUCCGCGAAUCAUCGAGUCUUUGAACGCAAGUUGCGCCCGAGGCUUGCCCUCGGGCAUUUCUGUCAGAGCGUCAC
RNAcentral lists this ribosomal RNA (96 nucleotides) under Schistidium apocarpum. Its description in RNAcentral is "partial 5.8S ribosomal RNA". It matches the Rfam family "5.8S ribosomal RNA", at positions 59 to 154 of the family's 154-position model. Rfam says of the family: 5.8S ribosomal RNA (5.8S rRNA) is a component of the large subunit of the eukaryotic ribosome. It is transcribed by RNA polymerase I as part of the 45S precursor that also contains 18S and 28S rRNA. Functionally, it is thought that 5.8S rRNA may be involved in ribosome translocation. Lineage: Eukaryota; Viridiplantae; Streptophyta; Bryopsida; Grimmiales; Grimmiaceae. The record is from RNAcentral. RNAcentral also lists the same sequence under 1 other name.